AUUGUGAAGAUUUGUUACAGGUGAAAGGAUUGCACUGACUCUUGUUUUGAUUUUGAAUGCAUGGAAAACUCGGAAUACAUGGAAAAGAGAGAGCGCUUAAUGAGAGAGAAAGCCCUCAAGAGGCCUUUUCUGCAAGAAGAUCAAGAAGAACCUGGGAUGGAAGAAAGGGACGAAGAAGACAAAGUACAGGAAGAAGAGAGGCCUGUGGAGGAAGAACCUGAGAAUCUGAGCGUAGAGAAAAAAGAGCCUUGGAGACCGAUAGGAAUUUAUACCGAAGAUGAAGAAGACCGAGCACCUGAGAAAUACGAGGAAGAAGAGAGGCCUGUGGAAGAAGAAGAGCCCCUGUAUAAUAUGCUCGAUGUACUUUGUGAAGUCUUGAAACCUGAAUUGGAUGCUCGGUGGAAUGAGAAGAAUGCAGUUGGUCAUGGAGAAGAGAAACCCCAGAAGGAAGCAAAGUUGGUGGGUGAAAAUAAAGAUGAAAAAGAAUGGGAGCCAAAGAAAUCGAAUAAUUCUAAUAGGCAACCAAGAGCUGAAGACUCUCUGCCGGAAAUGCCUGAGGAGUUGAAGAAUCACAUCCAAGAAAUGGGUGGAAGGAGUGUGAAGUUCCUGAUGGAGAGGAGGAUGUUCAAGACUGAUGAAGGGAGCCACUUGCCGAUUCCCAUUCAAGAAAUACUAACAGAAGAAGAAGAGAGAAUGUUUUUGGGGGAAGGAAUAGGAAUGGAAGUGGAGGUUGUAGAGCCUUGUCUUCAACACGCUCACAUAGCCAUCAGGAAGUGGAAGGUGGGAAAGGGCCACAACUACGUCUUCGCAAACAAGAACUGGGUCAAUGUUGUCGAGAGAAAUGCACUCUGGAAAGGCACCGUAGUCCAGGUGUGGUCCUUUCGGAACAUGGAUUCCAAGCUGUGCUUUGCUGUCGUUAGGGUUUAAGGAGGAGGAGGAGAAGAAGAUGAUGGCAGCACAAGCCUAAAGCACUGCAAAUACCAGCUAAGUAGACUUGAUGCUAUACCACCUUCAAGAACAAUAAUAUUCUUAGAAUUUUUCAUGCAAAUGUUCUUCAUUCAUUCAAAGGUUGUUCUUAGAGUUUCUGAUUCUUGAUGAAUAAACAGUUGGUAGUUUUUCGUUAAUUUUCUUGAUUCUUGAUCUUUGGCUUGUUCCCCAAACACCAUCAACGAUGUGGGUUCCAGUGAUGUUGACCAACUAUGGCAGACCUUCACCAGGACCUCAGGAGUUCAUUUCCACGACGAAUUUUUAGAGAUGUCUUGUGUGAAGGCAAUGAUUGGUUGAGGAAAAGUCGAAAUAAUCCUUGGAAAAUGACCGUUUAUCAAGACUAAUUUAGAAAAAUCAAAAUAAUUCUCCAAUCCUACACUUAUUAUCUAUAUAUUUUGAAAUAUCAUGUCACUAGGAAAUGUAUAUUCUAUCAUAUCAUUUUUAAUAGGAUAUGAUAUAUUUAAAUAUUAUAUUCAAUAGGUAUGAUAUCUUAAAUUAGGAUAAUCGAUAAAACAUGCUAUAUUACGUUUAUAUUUAGUUUAUAAAAUGAAUAAAAAAAUAAAAUAGAAUAUAUGUUAUUUUUCAAAUUUUAAAAUAAAAAUUAUAUUACAUUCUAAAUAAUUUUUUAUUAUAAAAAAAUAUAAAAAUAUUCAUGAUUAAAAUAUUUAAAUUUUAUAAAUAAUGUUUUAUAUUAUGUUAUUUGUAAUAUAUAAGAAUAUUUUUAUAUAUUAAAUAAUACAUAUAUUAAUAUUAUUUUAUAAAUUUUUGAGUUCUUUUUAACCAUAAAUUAUAUUUUAUUAUAAAAAAAAUUAUUUUAUAAAAUAAUUAAUAUAAAAAAAUAAAUAAAUUUAUAAUACAUUGGAUAUGUAUAUUAUAUAUUUUAACUUAGUAUUAACAUAUUUAUAAAAAAUAAAGCAAAUAAUAUCUCUCACAAUUUAUCUUAUCUUAUAUUUAAUUGAAUAUAUGAUAAGAUAAGUGGAAUAUAGAAUAAGAUAAGCGAUGUAAUAAUUUGUCAUAUCUCAUCAUCAACUAAAUAUGCCAACCAAAACAUGGUCUUAAAACACUUCUUUGUAGGAUUUUAAUUUUAAAUUAAACCCUUAUUUAUUUAUUAAAAAAAAAACAUCAUACACAAAUUUAUAUAGGAAUGAUAAUAUGGAGGGUUUAGGAUUGGACUCAAAAAAUAGGAUAAGAGAAUUUAGUAUAGCACCUUCUUAAAGCACGUCGAAGUAAGAAUUUAACUUUAAAUUAAACUCCUUUUUAUUUAUUAAAAAAAUAAUAAUCAUAAAUAAACCUACUUAGCGAUGAUAAUGUAGAGGGUGUAGGACUCAUCUCAAAAAAUAGGAUACAAAAAUUUCUUAUAUUUAUCCAUCUCAAAUAGUGAUUUGCUUUAGUUAUAUUUUAGGUUCAAUUGGGUUCGGUGAUUUUUUCAUUAAUGAUGAUAAAUAUUUAUUUACAAAUAGAUUUGAGUUUUAUUAUAAUUUGAACUCUAUCUCCUACUCUAAUUCAAACUAAUUACUUUGAUUCAAACUCUAUAUUUUACUUUAAUUCAAACAAAUAAUAAAUAGAUAAAUAUUAAUAAUUAGAGACGAAGCUAAACCCUAACCCACUCCCUCGGAAAGAGGACGAUACCAAUUGGGCCUCGCUGAACAGGCCCAAUCCAAUGUAUGGCCUGUGUAGACGAUCCAAGAUUAAGGGCUGGACCUACGCUGGGUUGGGACGAGUUUGCAGAGAACCCCGAAAUCAAGCCCAAUCCAUGCAUUUAAUUGAUAAACCAACAUGAAAAACAUGCAUAACAAAUUCAUAGUCUUAAAGGUAAUUGCAUGAAUAAUAAAAAAAUCCCUAAUACUCGUAUCAAAAACUCUAAAAAAUAAGUAAAUAAAAAAGAAAAAGAAAAACUGGUCUUCAAUGUCUUCAAUGUUGCUGGUCUUCAGCUUCUCCAUUGCUGCUGUUGUGUUUUCAUGGGUUAACCCUAACAAGAGCAAACCACAAUUCGGACCCGACCCGAAAGGACCAUACUUGAAUUCGAGUUCUUCUCCUAAGUGAAUUGUUAUUUACUAUCAACUUCCAUUCCCUCGUAAACACGUAGAGAUGACAACUUUCCUUCAUCUUCCAUUUCUUGAAGGUUACUGUAGUUUCUUCCAGAGAUGGUUGUAUUAGUUUUACUUGCAUCCCUUCCACCACCCUCAUCUUUUCGUCUUCACUCAAGAACUCCCUUCGGAUUUGGUUCAAGGGCAUGGAUAAUCUGUUUUCAUUUUCGUUUAUAUCAGUCUUAAAUAACUGCUUCUCUAGAACCAGAAUCGGACGGGUGCCAUUCAUCUCUCUUAUGCGAACUUUCAAAUCUUCCGGAAGCUCUGGAGGAGGAUCUUCAUCUUCAUCCAUCUCCACCCUCGGAAGAUCAAGGCCAACUCCAAUAUUCUGCUCCAUCCUGAGAGGAGGAUCUUCACCUUCAUCCAGCUCCACCCUCGGAAGAUCAAGGCCAACUUCAAUAUUCUGCUCCACCGGAAGCUCUGGAGGAGGAUCUUCACCUUCACCCAUCUCCACCCUCGGAAGAUCAAGGCCAACUCCAAUAUUCUGCUCCAUCCUGAGAUUCCACUGAUUUUCCAAGUCAUCGUGUAAAUGUUCAAUAAUACCUUCGACAAAAAUUUUCAUCGGUCUCCAAGGAUCUUCUUCUUCCUCUAUGCUUGGUUUCUCAGGUUCCUCUUCCACAGGCCUCUCGUCUUCCUUGUAUGUCUCAGAUACUUGGUCUUCAUCUUCAAUGUAAAUUUCCAUCUGUCUCCAAGGCUCUUCUUCUUCCUCUAUGCUCAGUUUCUCAGGUACUCGGUCUUCUCCAUUCCUUUCUUCAAUCACUAACGUUCCCUUCCUUGAUCUUUCCCUCUUUCUGGGUUCUUCUUCCAGAAAAGGCCUCUUGAGAGUUUUCUCUCUCAAUAAGCGCUUUCUCUUGCAUUUAAAGCACUCCAUGCGGUCUGGAUGCUCCCCCUCCAUAUCUUCACAAGAGCAGAGAACCAAGCAAAUUAUUUUUGUGAAGCUUUUUUCUCCCCUUUCACUUAGACUUCCGUAUUUAACCUAAGCAAUUAGAAACCUUUCCCGACAGAAAUUAGAAACCUUUCCUAACACAAAUUAGAAAUUAGAAACCCUCCCUUCUACUAGUUGUCCUGGAUAUCAAAAUCUUAGGUGGAAGUGUUUUAAGGAGCUGCAUUUGAGUUAAAUUAAACUUUCAAAAAUAUUUAAAUUAUUUUUAAUUACCUUUUAAAAUAUAACUAAAGAAGAAUCACCAUUUGAGAUGGGAUAAAUAUAAGAAAUUCUCUUAUCCUAUUUUUUUGAGACUAGUCCUAAAGAUCUUUAAAUAUGUGUAGCAUGAUUUUUUUUAAAAAAAAAUUUAAUUAAUAAAUAAGGGUUUAAUUUAGAGUUGAAAAAAAUCCUCCAUAGAAGUGCCUUAAGGAGGUACAUUUGAGUUAAACUAAACUACUAAACUAUUGUAAAAUAAUAAUAAUAAUAUUAAUAAUCAAUCAAAAAAAAAAAACCUAACUUAUUAAAAAUAGGACAAAUCAAAUUUUCCUCGAAAAACCCAAAAGAAGAAAGCCUAAGAACAACAUCGAUCCAGUUCUUGUUUGUGAAUAUAUAGAUGUAACCAUUGUUUUUCUUCCUUUUGUUGGCGGUUUUAUAAGUGUGUUGAAGAGAGUGGAGGGCUCUACAAGUCUAAAACCUCAACUUCCAUUCCUCCCUCCCAAAACAUCUUUUCCUCUGCUUCCGUUAAAAACUCCCUUUUUAUUUGUUUAAUCAAAACUAGGGAGUGGCUCACUUCAUCAAUCUUGCACAUUUUUAACUCUAUUCUAUUGUAUUUAAACGUGGUUUUAAAAAAUGUUUCUAACAUUUUUAACACUUAAAUGAUAAAAAAUUUUAAGUAUUAAAAAUAUUAAAUGUGUUUUCUAAAAUUACUAUCAAACAAACUCUUCAUCAAGGUGUGUGUGAAUGUUAUUUUUUUCCCAUUUCUUUUUAUGUGUGGUUUCUCAAUGGAAUUUACAAUUUAGGUGGAUUUAACUUCAAUUAAUAAAGAUUAAAUUAAUGUGAUUAUGUAGAGUUAAGAAUUUCUUUCUUUUUCUUUGCCCUUGUUAAAGAUUCCACAGGAGAUGAGGGAUAAGUUUCUUAGAGUGGAAGACAUGAAGAAGGAUGAUAAAAAUAAUGACCACUCAGACCCUUCUUUUGAUCUUGAGUCAUUAAAAAAGGCUGUACAAAAAUGCAGAGAAAAUAGAGAGCGUUUAAUGAGACAGAAACCUCUCGAGAGGGGAUUUCUGGAAGAAGAACCUCAGACACGGAUGGGAAUCAGCGAUGAUGAAGAAAAGGAGAGAAUUAGGAGACGGAAUAAUGGGCUCAUCGUUCAAUUGGAAUGGGAGAAGUUGGAAAUGGAGAAGAAACGGAGGAUGGAACAGAUUGGAGUCGGCCAUGAAGAAGAAGAAGAAGAAGAGGAGCUAGGAAAAACGGAGACUUCCCCAAGAUUGCAAUAAUCGAAUCAUUCUAAGAUUGGAGUCGAAGAUUCUGGGCGGAAGAGAAGGAGGUGUGUGUGAAGGUGCUGCAAAUACCAGCUAAGUAGACUUCAACAACAAUAAUAUUCUGGUUUUUUCAUGCAAAGUGUUCUUCAUUCACUGGUUAAUAUUCUUAGGGUUUCUUCUUUUGGGGUUUUCUGAAAGAUUUGUUCCGGUAUCAGUUUUUGAAGUGGAGAUCUAGCCAUGUCAUGCUGGUUGAUUCUUGGUGAAUAAACAGUCUGUAGUACUUUUCAUUAAUUUUCCUUUUUAUUUUCCUGGAAAGAAAAAGAAAAAAAUUUAGUUAUGGAUUCCCCUAUUGAUGAUGCAUGAAUUAAUCUAUCCUGUUUUUAAGGAUUGUUUGUCUUGGAAGGUGACUUAAAAACUACUUUAAUUUUAUAAAAAUUAAGGAUAAUUUCAAUAUUUUAAAGGGAUUUGUUUAACUUAAAAAUCAACCAUUAAUAUUUUUAUUUCAUCUCUAAGCAUGAUUCCACCAAAUAUUUAGGAUAGCUAUUAUAACGGGGAAAUAGGGUUUCUAAUUUGUGUUAGGAAAGGUUUCUAAUUGGUAAGGAUACAUAUAGAAGCAUAUGUGAAGUGGAGCGCAUCACCUCACAAUCACAAUUCUUUUUGAAUAAGUUUUUUUGUUCCUUUCCUCUGGUGAAGAUAUGAAGGGUUACUCGCAAAGGAGAAAGCGCUUAGUGAGAGAGAAAGGUCUCAAGAGGCCCAUUGUCAAAGAAGAAGAAGAACCGGAAUCCAAGGAAGAAGAAAGGCUCGUGGAAGAAGAACCUAAGAAAUUGAGCAUAGAGGAAGAAGAGGAGGCCCAGAGACGGAUGAAAAUCAACCAUGAUGAAGAAAAGGAGCGAAGUGGGAGAAUUUUUAUGGAAAGUAUUAUUGAAAUUUUAUCUGAUGAGAUGGAAAUUCAUCGGAUGAAGCAGAUUGCAAUUGAUCUUCUUGAAGGUUUCAAGACUGGGAUAAGAGAGAUGAAUGAUAAUAUGAAUAUCGCUUUACUUCAUAUCAAAAGUAUUAUUGCAAUUUUAUCCAAUGAGUUGGAAAUUCGGCGAAGACGAAUGGUCCACAGUGGAGUUGAUUUUCCCGAAGAUUUCAAAAAUUGAAAAUUUUGGUGUGCUCUCAUUAAGGCUAACCAGUGAAAGCACAACAAAGAUGAAGAAGAAUGGAAACACCCAAUUUUGUAGUGGAGAGUCUGGAGACUAUUAUAACUUUAGUCAUUGAUAUUUUUUUUUGGGUUUAAUUUUUUUUUUUUUUGGGUUUAAUGUCAUCCAUUGUGGAAUUACAAUCAUAUUGUCCUUCUAUUCUAUGGGCUGAUAAUAAUUAAUCACAUAAUUACUUUCAUACUAGAAGUUAUCUCCUUUACAAAUAUAUCUCCUACUUUCUAGAUAUUAAUUAAUAUAUAUCAUUGCCUAAAAAUUUAAUUAUUUUCCUUUAAUUGUUAUUUUAAUACAAAUAUCAACCUUCAAUUCAUAGUAGUUUUAUUUAGUGAAAAUUAUAAUUUUAUUUUUAUUUUUAUUCUAAGUGAAUUCAAGUAUUAAAGUAUUUAUAAUAACAUCUCUUUUCUUUGCAAGUUAUUAAAAGUUAUUAAAUUAACUAAAAAUAAAAUAAGAUAUGUUUCAUAUUCUACCAAAAUAUUUUUUUACAAAUCUUUAAUCUUUUAUCUUUCAAAGAAAAUAGCAUUGGAAGAAAAAAAAAAUAAUUAAAUCAUUUUUCACUAACUAAUAUACUAUGUGAAUUGAUAUAUUUUAGAAAUCAUAAUAUAAGCAUUGAAAUAUUAACCCAAUAUCUAUUAGGGUAACUCUUUUACCAUUUGAAAUAUUAAUCUAAUGUAAAUAUGUUGGAUAUUAAGAAUAAACAAAAUUUCCAAAAUCAAACAAGUAUAUAAAAAACUCAUAAUCUUUUACCAAGAAAACCUCACAUUAAUUGUGGAGAUAAAAAAUCAAAGGAUUUAGUAAUUUAGUAAAUUUAAGUUCACUGUUUAAGAUUCAGUCACAUAAUUAGUGAAUUUAUUUUCAAUAAUUUUAGUUUAAUUAUACUGAUUGAUGUGAAUAAGUUACUUUUAGUUGAAUAGAAAAAUAAAAUAUUUUUGGCUUUUUUUUUAUUCAAGCCAAAAAAUAAACACCACCUAAAUCAAAGUUUGGAAUUAAAAUAAAUAAUUAUAUAUAAUUUAUCAAAUAAAAGUGGGAAAAAAAAUCACAAUUAUAUGAAUUCUUUUUAAAUAGUUUUUUUUUUUUGGUUUUUUGCUAUUGUGAAGAUUUGUUACAGGUGAAGGAUUGCACAGACUCUUGUUUUGAUUUUGAAUGCAUGGAAAAGAGAGAGCGCUUAAUGAGAGAGAAAGCUCUCAAGAGGCCUUUUCUGCAAGAAGAUCAAGAAGAACCUGAGAUGGAAGAAAGGGACGAAGAAGACAAAGUACAGGAAAGAGAGAGGCCUGUGGAGGAAGAACCUGAGAAUCUGAGCGUAGAUAAAAAAGAGCCUUGGAGACCGAUAGAAAUUUAUACCGAAGAUGAAGAACACCGAGCACCUGAGAAAUACGAGGAAGAAGAAUGGCCC
Molecule: long non-coding RNA, 8063 nt
Filed under: Vitis vinifera (wine grape)
Lineage: Eukaryota; Viridiplantae; Streptophyta; Magnoliopsida; Vitales; Vitaceae
Description: long non-coding RNA (VVIN_LNC005574)
Source: RNAcentral